This 805-nucleotide long non-coding RNA is filed under the name Anser brachyrhynchus (Pink-footed goose). RNAcentral's name for it is "lncRNA (ENSABRG00000016249.1)". Lineage: Eukaryota; Metazoa; Chordata; Aves; Anseriformes; Anatidae. The record is from RNAcentral.
GUCUUCCAAUACGUCUCUCUUUCUGUCCGGACUGAAAUUUUGACCUGUCCUUCUGGCUUUUCCUCAUGAAUGUCUUGCCAGCAGCUCAAAUCUAGUCUAGACUGGGCUUUUUUUUAUAGUUAAUGGGGGAAACAAAAAAGAACUUUCAGGCAUGAUUCACCUCAUUCUGAUGUAGAUACCUAAAAUAAGUCAGAUGAGUCGCAGCCUGCGAGUUCCUGUUUCUACCACAGACCAUCCAGGAAGUCUAGAUGACAGGUAGGGAAAUCCACACUGUCGACGUCUACAUUUGUAGGAGAUAAAUCCCAGCUGGUGUGAUCCAGGUUACAAAUCAACCUCUGCGAUGCUGCUCAGAUGUUUGCAGGACUUUUGGUUUUACUUUAGGGGCCUGGUGGAAGACUGAAGCUCAAAACCUUAGUAGCAUGAAUGGCUACCAAAGGCCCUCACAGAGCAGCUUCUCCAAGGCCAAAGCGGAAGAGACAGAGACCAAGGACUCCAUGUUCCUCGCUUAUGAUCAUUAAUAGUGUGCAUGAUGAGUACCAUGGAGAAAGGAUCAUCUCUUUCCGUGUUUUCAUUCCACUAUGACCAGGGCUGUCAAAAGCAUAGGUGAAAGAAGAGGGGGAGGAAAAUACCAAGGAAGGUGGCUGGAUGGGUACGUGAGCCAGGAGGGUCCUCUGGGAGAAACUAGUGUCAGACUGCGCUCUAUGAAGGAGAUCUCUCAGGCGUUCUGGUUGAUACACCUGCAGCUGCCAGAGAGCUGAAACACCAGGUUCGUGAGAAGACAUUCCUCAUGGAUAUCUCAUACUCA